Molecule: long non-coding RNA, 2044 nt
Organism: Oncorhynchus masou masou (cherry salmon)
Lineage: Eukaryota; Metazoa; Chordata; Actinopteri; Salmoniformes; Salmonidae
Exons: 10
Source: RefSeq, a predicted model, not a curated record
UUGCAGUUGGUCUUCUUUUUAGAAGAAGAUUAAUUAUCAACUAAAAGGUCAUUUUCCAUGAAGAAAAAUUGUUGGACAGUUAUCUGUCUUUUUGCUUUAUCCAAAUCCCUCUGAGACACACAGAGACACACAUACACAGACACACAGACGCACACACAGAGAUGUUGGUGCAACACUGUCAGAUGUCUGGGAUUUGAACCAGCAACCCACCACUCUAGGCUACAUGCCACACCUUUGCGGGUUGGUUUUAUGGAUAAUUUUGUGAAGUAAUCUUGCAGUCUGACUUUCUAUUUAGUGUUGAGAAGGGCUUCUGUGAUGGUGUUGUCCUGGCAAAAGACAAACGAUAUGUCAUCUUUCGUCAAACAUGUCCAGUACAAAGACCAAUCAUACGUGCGUGGCACGUCAGAGGGGACAGCGGCCAAGGAGACGUCUGGAAAAUGAUCUGCCAAAGUAGAUGAGGAAGGCUACAGUGCUGAUACGGCGUCCACAUGUACAGAGGAGAGAUAUAUGACUAUGCAAUGGACUCCUCAAGGCCCUCAACAUGUACAGAGGAGAGAUAUAUGCCUAUGCAAUGCACUUGCAGAAGGAGCUGUCUUCUGCUGGCACGAUGUUGCAUGUAAACACUGUCCAUAUUGUCAGAAAGUUGUGCAGGCGUGCUCAGAGUUGGAGGAGUUUCUUAAAAAUGCACCCUCUCCUGUCUGUUAUGCUUUCGAAGGCACAUGAAUGGUCUUGUGAGGCAUUAUAGUUCAAAUGGGGAGGCCGCAAUCAGCCUGGUGCCGGCAACAUAACCGGAGAGGAAGUCGAGCAGGUGAAUAAUUUUAUAUCCAGAGCUGCUGUCACAACAAAGCACAUGUCCAAGGCUGCACAGACAGACAUCAUCACACUACUGGAAAUGGGCUGGAAUAAGAGGAAGAUCACCAACAUGGAUCGCAUGUUGGCAAAGAGAUAUGUGAAGAAUGUCAAAAGACUGAAGGGGGAGACCAGCCUCCUUGAAGAAUAGCGGGCAGAGCUGGACAUCAACGACUCUGUGCUUCAGGAGUGGGUUUCUGAGGUCCAGCAGUGGCCUGAAGGAUAGUCAAACAGGGUAGACGGGGCAUCUCCAGAAGAAGACUGAGGGGCUUUAUCUCAGUGUGAAACAGAGGAAACCUCUACCAUUAGACAGACGGCAACAAAGGAGACAUCAGAUUCAGAGAAAAAUUGUUGAGGACAAAGCAGCCUUGACAGCUGCCAUUGUUCCACUUCACCAACAGCAGGCAGAGUUUAGGCUCCCCACAGUGGACGAGCUGCUCAAUACUGACAACUUUGUGUGGCCAUGGGAGAGACUUGGCACCAGCAAUCUUGGACAGACUGAUGUUGGUGAACAGACUACAGGAGGAAGAGUGGAUCCUGGUGAAGGAGAUGAAGAGGCACUGGGGGGAGCCUACAAAGAGCAGCGGGAACACAGGAGGUACUGUCCCUACAGCUGCAAGACCAGAGCAAUGCAGUGGAGUUGUCAGAGGGAGAAAGGAAUGGCCUUCUCUGCCACCCGAAGAGAAGAUUGAGUGAACUGACAACACAAGACCAAGUCAACACCAGGAACGCCUACCACAAGCUGAUUCUGGGAGGAGGGGAUAUUUUUUGAUGACUCUGAUGAAGACAAGAACUCAGAUGAAGAUAGAAGUCCUAUUGCUGAGAGAUCAGAUGACUCCUGCUAUGCUUUCUGAAAUCAUACAACACCCCUGCCUCUUUCUCUUGGUCUCCCGCAGGAGAGGGAGAAGGCCGCCACCACCUCCCUUGGGAGCAUCCUGGUCUCCUGACGUUGACCCCUGACCCCCUCACCUUCUGAACCCAUCCAAGGAAAUUCCUAGGCUAUGGCGAAGUCAUCAGCAACUCAGACGGUUGCUUGAAGACAUCUUUACAGAGGAAUGUGUUUUGUUCUUCAUGACUGUUUUUUGUUGUAUUUUCUUCAAGUAUUGUCUAUGAUGUCAUGAUUGGGAUUUUCUUUUGUUUGUUGUAAUUGUGAGUUGCGAAAGAGUCCUUGGUCUCAAUGGGACUGCUUAAAUAA